Molecule: ribosomal RNA, 493 nt
Filed under: Lycodon subcinctus (Malayan banded wolf snake)
Lineage: Eukaryota; Metazoa; Chordata; Lepidosauria; Squamata; Colubridae
Description: partial 12S ribosomal RNA
Rfam family: Bacterial small subunit ribosomal RNA
Source: RNAcentral
GCCCGACUAUAACACAACAAUAAAACUACACAUUGUUCGCCAAAUAACUACGAGUGCAAACUUAAAACUUAAAAGACUUGACGGUACCCCACACCAGCCUAGAGGAGCCUGUUCAAUAACCGAUACUCCACGAUUAACCCAACCCCCUCUUGCCCACCAGCCUAUAUACCGCCGUCGCCAGCCUACCUUAUGAAAGAAACAAAGUAGGCCAAAUAACCCCACGUUAACACGACAGGUCGAGGUGUAGCCCACGAGGGGGCUAGAAUGGGCUACAUUUUCUAACCCAGAAAAAACGAAUAAACUAUGAAACAAGAAACUGAAGGCGGAUUUAGCAGUACACUAAACAACAAUACUUAGUCGAAAUUAACGCAAUGGGGUGCGUACACACCGCCCGUCAUCCCUGUAAUAAAAACAGAACAUCCAUAAACACAAACAUAACACCAAACAGGGCAAGUCGUAACAUGGUAAGCGUACUGGAAAGUGCGCUUAGAAA